AACGAACGCUGGCGGCGCGCUUAACACAUGCAAGUCGAACGGAAAGGCCUGCUUUCCCUUGUGGAUUGCGGGUACUCGAGUGGCGAACGGGUGAGUAACACGUGAGUGAUCUGCCCCCAACUUGGGUAUAAGCCUGGGAAACUGGGUCUAAUUCCCGAUAGGACUGCAGGGUGGUGCCUGUGGUGGAAAACGAUUUUCUAGUGGUUGGGGAUGAGCUCGCGGCCUAUCAGCUUGUUGGUGGGGUAAUGGCCUACCAAGGCGGCGACGGGUAGCCGGCCUGAGAGGGUGGACGGCCACAUUGGGACUGAGAUACGGCCCAGACUCCUACGGGAGGCAGCAGUGGGGAAUAUUGCACAAUGGGCGGAAGCCUGAUGCAGCGACGCCGCGUGGGGGAUGACGGCCUUCGGGUUGUAAACUCCUUUCGACCGCGAGGAAGCCACCUGGUUGGAAGGGUGGUGACGGUAGUGGUAGAAGAAGCACCGGCUAACUACGUG
This 494-nucleotide ribosomal RNA is filed under the name uncultured bacterium. Its description in RNAcentral is "partial 16S ribosomal RNA". It matches the Rfam family "Bacterial small subunit ribosomal RNA", at positions 28 to 507 of the family's 1533-position model. The record is from RNAcentral.